UGUCUGGUAUACACACACUGAGCGCCUGC
RNAcentral lists this non-coding RNA (29 nucleotides) under Homo sapiens (human). Lineage: Eukaryota; Metazoa; Chordata; Mammalia; Primates; Hominidae. The record is from RNAcentral.